Molecule: ribosomal RNA, 253 nt
Filed under: uncultured bacterium
Lineage: Bacteria
Description: partial 16S ribosomal RNA
Rfam family: Bacterial small subunit ribosomal RNA
Source: RNAcentral
UACAGAGGGUGCAAGCGUUAAUCGGAAUUACUGGGCGUAAAGCCCGCGUAGGCCGUCGAGUAAGUCGGAUGUGAAAUCCCCGGGCUUAACCUGGGAAUUGCAUUCGAUACUGCUUGACUACAGUGUGGAAGAAGGAAGCGGAAUUUCUGGUGUAGCGGUGAAAUGCGUAGAUAUCGGAAGGAACACCAGUGGCGGAGGCGGCUUCCUGGUCCAACACUGACGCGGAGGCGCGAAAGCGGGGGGAGCGAACAGG